This is a non-coding RNA of Mycena vulgaris, 95 nucleotides long. NCBI's taxonomy places the organism in Eukaryota, Fungi, Basidiomycota, Agaricomycetes, Agaricales, Mycenaceae. The record is from the annotation of a GenBank genome assembly.
GGCCGUCUAGCUCAGUUGGUUAGAGCGUCGUGCUAAUAUUGGUUAUGUCUCCCGAAUAUACGCGAAGGUCUUGGGUUCGACCCCCACGAUGGCCA